CCUACGGGGGGCAGCAGUGAGGAAUAUUGGUCAAUGGACGCGAGUCUGAACCAGCCAAGUAGCGUGAAGGAUGACUGCCCUAUGGGUUGUAAACUUCUUUUAUAUGGGAAUAAACUGUUCCACGUGUGGGUUUCUGUAUGUAUCAUAUGAAUAAGGAUCGGCUAACUCCGUGCCAGCAGCCGCGGUAAUACGGAGGAUUCAAGCGUUAUCCGGAUUUAUUGGGUUUAAAGGGAGCGUAGGUGGUUUGUUAAGUAAGUGGUGAAAGUUUGAGGCUCAACCUUAAAAUUGCAGUUGAAACUGGUAGUCUUGAGAGCAGUAGAGGUGGGCGGAAUGUGUGGUGUAGCGGUGAAAUGCUUAGAGAUCACAAAGAACUCCGAUUGCGAAGGCAGUUCACUGGACUGCAACUGACGCUGAGGCUCGAAAGUGUGGGGAUCAAACAGGAUUAGAUACCCGGGUAGUC
RNAcentral lists this ribosomal RNA (460 nucleotides) under uncultured bacterium. RNAcentral's name for it is "partial 16S ribosomal RNA". It matches the Rfam family "Bacterial small subunit ribosomal RNA", at positions 338 to 795 of the family's 1533-position model. The record is from RNAcentral.